RNAcentral lists this ribosomal RNA (468 nucleotides) under uncultured bacterium. RNAcentral's name for it is "partial 16S ribosomal RNA". It matches the Rfam family "Bacterial small subunit ribosomal RNA", at positions 28 to 507 of the family's 1533-position model. The record is from RNAcentral.
GACGAACGCUGGCGGCGUACUUAACACAUGCAAGUCGAACGGAAAGGCCCUGCUUUUGUGGGGUGCUCGAGUGGCGAACGGGUGAGUAACACGUGAGUAACCUGCCCUUGACUUUGGGAUAACUUCAGGAAACUGGGGCUAAUACCGGAUAGGAGCUCCUGCUGCAUGGUGGGGGUUGGAAAGUUUCGGCGGUUGGGGAUGGACUCGCGGCUUAUCAGCUUGUUGGUGGGGUAGUGGCUUACCAAGGCUUUGACGGGUAGCCGGCCUGAGAGGGUGACCGGCCACAUGGGGAAUGAGAUAAGGCCCAGACUCAGACGGGAGGCAGCAGUGGGGAAUAUUGCACAAUGGGCGGAAGCGUGAUGCAGCAACGCCGCGUGCGGGAUGACGGCCUUGGGGUUGUAACCCGCUUUCGCCUGUGACGAAGCGGGAGUGACGGUAAUGGGUAAAGAAGCACCGGCUAACUACGUG